This 253-nucleotide ribosomal RNA is filed under the name uncultured bacterium. RNAcentral describes it as "partial 16S ribosomal RNA". It matches the Rfam family "Bacterial small subunit ribosomal RNA", at positions 524 to 776 of the family's 1533-position model. The record is from RNAcentral.
UACGAACCGUACGAACGUUAUUCGGAAUUACUGGGCUUAAAGAGUUCGUAGGCGGCUUGGAAAGUGGGGUGUGAAAGCCCUCGGCUCAACCGAGGAAUUGCGCUCCAAACUACCGAGCUUGAGUAGGCUAGAGGUGAGCAGAACUGAUGGUGGAGCGGUGAAAUGCGUUGAUAUCAUCAGGAAUACCGGAGGCGAAGGCGGCUCACUGGGACCUAACUGACGCUGAGGAACGAAAGCUAGGGGAGCAAACGGG